This 252-nucleotide long non-coding RNA is filed under the name Linum usitatissimum (flax). Its description in RNAcentral is "long non-coding RNA (LUSI_LNC000718)". Lineage: Eukaryota; Viridiplantae; Streptophyta; Magnoliopsida; Malpighiales; Linaceae. The record is from RNAcentral.
AUCCAGAAGUAUCGAUUUGGUUUACUAGUCGAGUAUAUAGUGUAAGAUGUUGAUGCUGCAAAAUGUAUAACGGUUUCUGAUGUUAAUGAACCUUAAAGCCCUUGAUUGGAUUGAUUUACCGGAAUCGUUUCUUAAUGUUUGAGAUAGAAGACUGUUAGACCAAAGGCGGUUCUCGGAUCACAAUCCGAACUGUACUCGUUUAGCCACUCAUGCUAAUGAUCUUGUCCUGCAGGAGAUCUUUUUGCUGGUAGC